UGGGGAAUUUUGCACAAUGGGGGAAACCCUGAUGCAGCGACGCCGCGUGAUUUAGAAGGCCUUCGUGUUGUAAAAAUCUUUUCUAUGGGAAGAAAAUGACAGUACCAUAGGAAUAAGGACCGGCUAAUUACGUGCCAGCAGCCGCGGCAAUACGUAAGGUCCGAGCGUUGUCCGGAAUCAUUGGGCGUAAAGGGUACGUAGGCGGGUAAGCAAGUUAGAAGUGAAAUCCUAUAGCUCAACUAUAGUAAGCUUUUAAAACUGCUCAUCUUGAGGUAUGGAAGGGAAAGUGGAAUUCCUAGUGUAGCGGUGAAAUGCGCAGAUAUUAGGAGGAAUACCGGUGGCGAAGGCGACUUUCUGGCCAUAACCUGACGCUGAGGUACGAAAGCGUGGGUAGCAAACAGG
This 402-nucleotide ribosomal RNA is filed under the name bacterium. Its description in RNAcentral is "partial 16S ribosomal RNA". It matches the Rfam family "Bacterial small subunit ribosomal RNA", at positions 355 to 776 of the family's 1533-position model. The record is from RNAcentral.